GUGAGGCAGAGGCUCAGGGUUCUUCUGCCUACUAGAGGCAAGAGCCUUCUGGCUUCCUGCAUGUUAAGGUGACUCAAUGUGUCUGUCAUUCAUCAACAACCCCUCCCCAGAGAGAACAAAGUAGCAUGCCUAUGUCCUGGAACAAGGCCAGCCGGCCAGGUGGGGGUUGAUUACAGGGAGCCAGUCAUCAAACAUCCUUCUCCCCCGGCCUGGAGAAAUACCUCUGACUUGUGGUUUUAUGGAUCUGUCAUUUGGAUGAAGCUUUCUCAAUCUGGUCUACACUGUGAAAUAAAUGCUGCUCAAGAAGCUUCUCAACUCAAAGAUGUUC
Molecule: long non-coding RNA, 328 nt
Filed under: Heterocephalus glaber (naked mole-rat)
Lineage: Eukaryota; Metazoa; Chordata; Mammalia; Rodentia; Bathyergidae
Description: lncRNA (ENSHGLG00100037850.1)
Source: RNAcentral